Molecule: ribosomal RNA, 323 nt
Filed under: uncultured beta proteobacterium
Lineage: Bacteria; Pseudomonadati; Pseudomonadota; Betaproteobacteria
Description: bacterial SSU rRNA
Rfam family: Bacterial small subunit ribosomal RNA
Source: RNAcentral
CAUAAUCUCUGAGGAGAAAAGCAGGGGAUCGCAAGACCUUGCGCUUUUGGAGCGGCCGAUGCCUGAUUAGCUUGUUGGUAAGGUAAAAGCUUACCAAGGCUUCGAUCAGUAGCUGGUCUGAGAGGACGACCAGCCACACUGGGACUGAGACACGGCCCAGACUCCUACGGGAGGCAGCAGUGGGGAAUUUUGGACAAUGGGGGCAACCCUGAUCCAGCCAUGCCGCGUGAGUGAAGAAGGCCUUCGGGUUGUAAAGCUCUUUCAGCCGGAACGAAACGGUUACGGUUAAUACCCGUGACUAAUGACGGUACCGGAAGAAGAAG